UACGUAGGGGGCAAGCGUUGUCCGGAAUCAUUGGGCGUAAAGCGCGUGUAGGCGGUUACGUAAGUCUGCUGUGAAAGUCGGAGGCUCAACCUUCGAAAGCCGGUGGAUACUGCGUGACUUGAGUACGGAAGAGGAGAGUGGAAUUCCUGGUGUAGCGGUGAAAUGCGCAGAUAUCAGGAGGAACACCAACGGCGAAGGCAGCUCUCUGGGACGUUACUGACGCUGAGACGCGAAAGCGUGGGGAGCAAACAGG
RNAcentral lists this ribosomal RNA (253 nucleotides) under uncultured bacterium. RNAcentral's name for it is "partial 16S ribosomal RNA". It matches the Rfam family "Bacterial small subunit ribosomal RNA", at positions 524 to 776 of the family's 1533-position model. The record is from RNAcentral.